This 491-nucleotide ribosomal RNA is filed under the name uncultured bacterium. RNAcentral describes it as "partial 16S ribosomal RNA". It matches the Rfam family "Bacterial small subunit ribosomal RNA", at positions 29 to 506 of the family's 1533-position model. The record is from RNAcentral.
AGUGAACGCUGGCGGUAGGCCUAACACAUGCAAGUCGAACGGCAGCACAGUAAGAGCUUGCUCUUACGGGUGGCGAGUGGCGGACGGGUGAGGAAUACAUCGGAAUCUACUUUUUCGUGGGGGAUAACGUAGGGAAACUUACGCUAAUACCGCAUACGACCUACGGGUGAAAGCAGGGGAUCUUCGGACCUUGCGCGAUUGAAUGAGCCGAUGUCGGAUUAGCUAGUUGGCGGGGUAAAGGCCCACCAAGGCGACGAUCCGUAGCUGGUCUGAGAGGAUGAUCAGCCACACAGGAACUGAGACACGGUCCAGACUCCGACGGGAGGCAGCAGUGGGGAAUAGUGGACAAUGGGCGCAAGCCUGAUCCAGCCAUACCGCGUGGGUGAAGAAGGCCUUCGGGUUGUAAAGCCCUUUUGUUGGGAAAGAAAAGCAGCAGGUUAAUACCCCGCUGUUCUGACGGUACCCAAAGAAUAAGCACCGGCUAACUUCGU